Molecule: transfer RNA, 73 nt
Filed under: Sus scrofa (pig)
Lineage: Eukaryota; Metazoa; Chordata; Mammalia; Artiodactyla; Suidae
Rfam family: tRNA
About the family: Transfer RNA (tRNA) molecules are approximately 80 nucleotides in length. Their secondary structure includes four short double-helical elements and three loops (D, anti-codon, and T loops).
Source: Rfam by way of RNAcentral
UCCCUGGUAGCCUAGUGGUUAAGAGGUCAGCAUUGCCACUGCUGUGGCUAGGGUUCAAUCCCUGGUCUGGGAA